RNAcentral lists this ribosomal RNA (741 nucleotides) under Enterobacter sp. C6. RNAcentral describes it as "bacterial SSU rRNA". It matches the Rfam family "Bacterial small subunit ribosomal RNA", at positions 67 to 790 of the family's 1533-position model. Lineage: Bacteria; Pseudomonadati; Pseudomonadota; Gammaproteobacteria; Enterobacterales; Enterobacteriaceae. The record is from RNAcentral.
CGGUAGCACAGAGAGCUUGCUCUCGGGUGACGAGUGGCGGACGGGUGAGUAAUGUCUGGGAAACUGCCUGAUGGAGGGGGAUAACUACUGGAAACGGUAGCUAAUACCGCAUAACGUCGCAAGACCAAAGAGGGGGACCUUCGGGCCUCUUGCCAUCAGAUGUGCCCAGAUGGGAUUAGCUAGUAGGUGGGGUAACGGCUCACCUAGGCGACGAUCCCUAGCUGGUCUGAGAGGAUGACCAGCCACACUGGAACUGAGACACGGUCCAGACUCCUACGGGAGGCAGCAGUGGGGAAUAUUGCACAAUGGGCGCAAGCCUGAUGCAGCCAUGCCGCGUGUAUGAAGAAGGCCUUCGGGUUGUAAAGUACUUUCAGCGGGGAGGAAGGUGUUGUGGUUAAUAACCGCAGCAAUUGACGUUACCCGCAGAAGAAGCACCGGCUAACUCCGUGCCAGCAGCCGCGGUAAUACGGAGGGUGCAAGCGUUAAUCGGAAUUACUGGGCGUAAAGCGCACGCAGGCGGUCUGUCAAGUCGGAUGUGAAAUCCCCGGGCUCAACCUGGGAACUGCAUUCGAAACUGGCAGGCUAGAGUCUUGUACGAGAGGGGGGUAGAAUUUCCAGGUGUAGCGGUGAAAUGCGUAGAGAUCUGGAGGAAAUACCGGGUGGCGAAGGCAGGCCCCUGGACAAAGACUGACGCUCAGGUGCGAAAGCGUGGGGAGACACAAACAGGAUUAGAUACCCUGG